Molecule: ribosomal RNA, 431 nt
Filed under: uncultured bacterium
Lineage: Bacteria
Description: bacterial SSU rRNA
Rfam family: Bacterial small subunit ribosomal RNA
Source: RNAcentral
GAACGCGAAGAACCUUACCCGGGCUUGAACUAAGAGUGACAGAUUUAGAGAUAGAUCAUUCUUCGGACACUCUUGGAGGUGCUGCAUGGUUGUCGUCAGCUCGUGCCGUGAGGUGUCGGCUUAAGUGCCAUAACGAGCGCAACCCUUUUCCUUGGUUGCCAUCAGGUAAUGCUGGGCACUCCAGGGAUACUGCCAUCGUAAGAUGUGAGGAAGGUGGGGAUGACGUCAAAUCAGCACGGCCCUUACGUCCGGGGCUACACACGUGUUACAAUGGGGGUACAGAAGGUCGCUACCUGGUGACAGGAUGCUAAUCUCAAAAACCUCUCUCAGUUCGGAUUGGAGUCUGCAACCCGACUCUAUGAAGCUGGAUUCGCUAGUAAUCGCGCAUCAGCCAUGGCGCGGUGAAUACGUUCCCGGGUCUUGUACACACC